Molecule: ribosomal RNA, 427 nt
Filed under: uncultured Acholeplasma sp.
Lineage: Bacteria; Bacillati; Mycoplasmatota; Mollicutes; Acholeplasmatales; Acholeplasmataceae
Description: bacterial SSU rRNA
Rfam family: Bacterial small subunit ribosomal RNA
Source: RNAcentral
GUAAGGAAUCUUCCGCAAUGGGCGAAAGCCUGACGGAGCGACACCGCGUGGAGGACGAAGGCCUUUUGGUUGUAAACUCCUUUUCUGAGGGAAUAAAUGAUGAAGGUACCUCAGGAAUAAGCACCGGCUAACUACGUGCCAGCAGCCGCGGUAAUACGUAGGGUGCAAGCGUUAUCCGGAAUCAUUGGGCGUAAAGCGUUCGUAGGUGGUUUAGAAAGUUUGUAGUUAAAUCUGGUCGCUCAACGAUCAAUUCGCUACAAAAACUCCUAAACUAGAGAUUGACAGAGGCAACUGGAAUUCCACAUGUAGGGGUAAAAUCCGUUGAUAUGUGGAGGAACACCAAAAGCGAAGGCAGGUUGCUGGGUCAUUUCUGACGCUGAGGAACGAAAGCGUGGGGAGCAAACAGGAUUAGAAACCCUAGUAGUCC